CGAGAUAACGGCUUAGUUAUUACGGGGCAGCCGGGCACAUAUAUCCAACCGAUCCAUGGACCCCAAGCUAGCGCCGGGGCUAGCUAAGAGAUGCUAGGCAUCCAUUUGCUCGUGAUCUUGACUUUCUUUUUCAUGUGUGGCUUAGUGGUUGAUGCGAUCAACCUCCCCAUACUCGUCGUAUAUGUAAUGCCGGAUAAGAUCUGCUAUGAUUCUCGCUGCGUGGUGAGGAUGUCCAGCGAAAGAAGCACCCGAUACUGCUACACAAGUAACGUAAGAGAAAAAAAAAAAUCACCGCUCAGGUUUUCACUUGUCUGAAUCCCUUUGUUCUGCUUGUACGCCACCUGCUCUGACACCAGAUUCCCAUCACGUUUUACGGCUUCCUGGUUACUUAACCAACUAACCAAUCUAACAGGAAACUGGGAAGGCUGGCCCACGACUUUGCAGCUCUCAGAGUACGUACAUCUUUCCCGGUCAAAAUACUUUUGGGCAUCGCUUUCUGGAGGAGCUGCCUCCAUCCCAUUCUUACGAGGACGGACGAGGGCCGCUAACAGGCGCAUAAUCAAUUGUCUAAUCCAGGGUGGGGAGAGCUGUUUCUCAUUAAUUAAAACAAACGAUCCCGUGUGUUCCGUGUUACUUAAAGCAUCCGCGCCCACCCAAGCCAGGUUCUCAGCACGCUGCCCAUGCCAAAGAUACGGUACGUCGGAGCUAGUACUGCUGCAUGCGCGACCAGUCCUUUCCACGACGGAAGGGGGAAAGAAGCAGCAGUCAAUUCAAAUGAUCAACUGAAUCUUCCGCCAUAAGCCGGCACGACCGGCACGGCCAACGGAAGAAAGAAACGUUUUACGUGUG
Molecule: long non-coding RNA, 849 nt
Filed under: Brachypodium distachyon (stiff brome)
Lineage: Eukaryota; Viridiplantae; Streptophyta; Magnoliopsida; Poales; Poaceae
Description: long non-coding RNA (BDIS_LNC001348)
Source: RNAcentral